AGUGAACGCUGGCGGUAGGCCUAACACAUGCAAGUCGAACGGCAGCACAGUAAGAGCUUGCUCUUACGGGUGGCGAGUGGCGGACGGGUGAGGAAUACAUCGGAAUCUACUUUUUCGUGGGGGAUAACGUAGGGAAACUUACGCUAAUACCGCAUACGACCUACGGGUGAAAGCAGGGGAUCUUCGGACCUUGCGCGAUUGAAUGAGCCGAUGUCGGAUUAGCUAGUUGGCUGGGUAAAGGCCCACCAAGGCGACGAUCCGUAGCCGGUCUGAGAGGAUGAUCAGCCACCCUAGAACUGAGACACGGUCCAGACUCCUACGGGAGGCAGCAGUGGGGAAUAUUGGACAAUGGGCGCAAGCCUGAUCCAGCCAUACCGCGUAGGUGAAGAAGGCUUUCGGGUUGUAAAGCCCUUUUGUUGGGAAGGAAAAGCAGCAGGUUAAUACCCCGCUGUUCUGACGGUACCCAAAGAAUAAGCACCGGCUAACUUCGUG
RNAcentral lists this ribosomal RNA (492 nucleotides) under uncultured bacterium. RNAcentral describes it as "partial 16S ribosomal RNA". It matches the Rfam family "Bacterial small subunit ribosomal RNA", at positions 29 to 507 of the family's 1533-position model. The record is from RNAcentral.